RNAcentral lists this long non-coding RNA (27272 nucleotides) under Fragaria vesca (wild strawberry). RNAcentral describes it as "long non-coding RNA (FVES_LNC003154)". Lineage: Eukaryota; Viridiplantae; Streptophyta; Magnoliopsida; Rosales; Rosaceae. The record is from RNAcentral.
CGGGUUGCAGGUAUGGUGGAAGCAUCGGCACUCGGCAGCGUCAUAAACUUAGCUGUUGAAGUUUAUGUAGUGAAGUAUGUGUGGGCGUACGUAAUUAAUUAACAUACAAAUAAACUUUUUAAUAUAAACACAUGCAAGUGAUUCGAGUCUGCAACAAUACGUACGUGUACACACACAUCUCCAUGGCAUGAACGCAAAACAUUUCACGCACGUAGUGAGUACAUGAAAUGAUGCGGAACCAUCAGAAAAGAGAAACAAAAACGUAACAAAAUGCACAUAUCUCUAAGUCUAUUACAAAAGGCAUUUACUUAAUGCGCGAAAUCAUGUUUUGGAUGUUAUGAGUGUGUGUGUAUAUAUAUAUAUAUAUAUAUAUAUAUAUAAAUAUCAGGGCCCUUUCAUUGAGAGAUCCUUAUUUUUUGUUACUUUUAGGGAUAGGCCUAAACCAUUUGAUUUGUUUUUUAAUAGGCUUUGAUGGCUGAGAUUAAUAUAAGAAACUUAACACUUAUGUCAAAUCUACACCGUUCAAGAUUAUUAAAAAUAAAUUCCUCGUUUGGAUGACUUAACGAUCACCAAAUUUUCUGAAAAUUUGUAGAAAUGAUCUACCCAUAUAGCCUAACGAACUGAACGGUGGAGAUUUGAUUUUGUGAUCGAAAAGUUCGUCAAAUGAUCUAUUCCUAGAAAUAAACAAAAAAAGGGAUCCCUCAUUGGAAGGGCCCUAUAAAUAUAUACAUAUAUAUAUAUAUAUAUUCUCAGGUGCGGAUGUCCGCAUUUAUUCUUAUGGAGCGGAUUUCCACUUUACACUCACUUUUCAAUCGAAUUUUCACAUCUCCACCGUUUAAUCUUUAGAUACUAAUGUAUAGAUCAUCUCUGUAAAAUUUCAGCCAAUUUGGUUAUCUUUAAGGCACUUAAACUCGAUUAAACCAAUGGAUGAACAUAAUUCUGUCGAACUUGAACCGUUCAUGUUUAUAACAGAAAAACGCAGUUUUGAGUGCCUUAAUGAUAACCAAAUUGGCUGAAUUUUUGCAGAGAUGAUAUAUACAUUAGUAUCUAAACACUAGACGGUGGAGAUGUGAAAAUUCGAUUGAAAAGUGAGUGUAAAGUGGAAAUCCGCACCGUAAGAAUAAAUACGGAUGUCCGCAGCUGAGAAGCUAUGUAUAUACAGUCGAGAUCAGAGGCGGACGUCCGCACAGCCCUUAAAGUACGGACGUCCGUUUGUUCGCCACUGUAAGGCGCCUCCACCCCAGCAGACUCCAGCAGCGUCCCUGACCACUUUCCCUCCCCGGCGAGUCCGUCGAAUUUCAGUUUUUCGGCCAGAUCACCCAAAACUUCAAACAAAGCCAAUCUGGCCGGAAUACUGGAAUUCGGCGGACUCGCCGGGGAUGGAAAGUGGUCGGGGACGCUGCUGGAGUCCGCUGGAGUGGAGGAGCGCUCUCGCCGGCGCCGUACAGUGGCGAACGGAGGGACGUCCGCACUUUAAAGGCUGUGCGGACGUCCUCUUUAGAACGGCUCCAUAUAUAUAUAAUAUAUAUAUAGUGAUGUUAUUCAUACACUACUUUAUUAUUCACACGCCUUAUUUAUUUUUUUAUUAGUACGAUUUACUUUUAUUUACAAACUGUGUACCCAUUUGAAUAUGCUUCAUGAUUGGCUCUAGAUCUCCAACAUAAAUUAGAUGCAUAUAUAUAUAUAUAAUAGAAUAUAGUGUGUGAAUAACAACAAUCUAUACAUAUAUAUAAUAUAUUCACAAGGUAGUAGUCUCUAUUUAAUUUUAUUUAUUUAUUUUUUAUUUUUAUUUUUUUUUUGAGAAUGAUAGUCUCUAGUUGUGGUAGGUUUGAGAAAGGAAAGGGACUCUUGCGCUAACUUUGAAGAAUGGGUAAUCUCCAAUAAAUUAGGAGCUUCGUCACUUUCGAUUUUGAUCGUAUAAAAAAGGGAAAAAGACCAUUUGCACAAAAUAGAAAAAGUCAAACCCCAUUUCAAUGAUAAUCUUUUUUAUUAGCCCAUUUGAAUAUAAGGUACUUAUUUUAAGCCCAAAUACACAAAUCUUUAUUAAAAUAUAAUAAAAUGAUAUUUUAAAAGACUUUUUUACCCUUAACCUUUAUUUAAAGAGAAAAAAAGAAAAAGAAGAAAGGAAGACUUUCCCGGAAGCACACCGGACACCAGCGCCGGUCGCCGGUCACCGGAUUCCGGUCACCGAACACCGGUCGCCUAAUUCCUGUCACCGGACACUGGCAGCCGGAUUCCGGUCACCGGUCGCCGGAAAAUUGAUGGUGAUCGGAAAAUCGCCGGAGACGCCGGAGUCUCACUGGAUUUUUUUGAAAAAAAUGUCACCAGAACCCACCGGAUCUUGCCGGAAGCAUACCGGCAAAAAAUGAAGUUUACUACCCCUGGUAAACUUUUACUGGGGGUAGUAAACUUGCAAAACAGUAGCUCCAAUGCCAUAAUUCACAUUGAAAAAGAGAAAAAUCAACUUAGAUGCGAAAAAUAAAGUUUACUACCCCUAGUAAACUUUUACUGGGGCAGUAAACUUGCAAAACAAUAGCUCCAAUGCCAUAAUUUACAUUGAAAAAGAGAAAANNNNNNNNNNNNNNNNNNNNAGUGUUGCCCUAAAAUAACAGCAAAUGCAUAAAAAACAGAUUUAAAUAUAUAGCAUACUAGUGCAACAUUUCAGACCACUUAUCCAAUCGGAAUCUUCCCGAUGGGCAAUGUACCUCAAUUGGGUCAUUGAUCAUGGAGACGUGAUUGGAAAGAUAACAACUCAGACACAAUGUUAAACGUGAAACAAUGGCCCGUCGAUCUACUCUCUCUUUCCCAUCCCUCCCUCUCCCUCCUGCAAACUCUUCCGAUUUCUUCUUCUUCCUCAUUGAUUGAUUAUGGGAUGUGAAAUUCACAUAUAAUUUUUCUUUUUUUGGUAUCCACACACAAUUUUUCUUUUUUUGGUUAACAUAAUCAUAAAAAAAUAAAGUUUAAGUCAAUAAAAGACAAAAUUUAAGUUACUAAAAAAAAAUGAUGUGUGGAUUUUAAUUUAGGGUACGUGAAUUUCACGAUCCUUGAUUAUAUGUAUGCCGAUUCUCUCUCUCUCUCUCAACUGACAGUAUCAUAGUAGUUCGUCAUGCUCUGUUUUACUAGCUAGAAUCAUUUAUUUGGAUCAUAUUAUUAAAUUACUUCAUCAAAACUAAGGGAAAGUUUAUGUAGGUACGUACCAAUGAAAUCCGGGACAAGACGUCCAUCACUAAAUCUUCCAGUGGGAUGGUGGAAGAAGGUCAUUCCAUAUGGCCAGGUAAUUGCUUCAUCAUCGUCUACGGUCAUAUUAGCUAGGUACGUAUUGCCUGUUUCCGGCCUCAAAUGGUGAGUCCCCCGAACACAAACAACGCCACCUUACUAUUAGGAUUGUGUUCUAUACUAUACUACUACUACUACUACUACUACUACUACUACUAGCGGAGCGCGACAGAUCACGAUGAUCUUGGUGACCGUAUAGAAGGAAGUUAAUUGGGUUGAAUAAGCUGGCCAACACAUAAACAAGGUAGCUAAGAUUUGCCAUUUGCAUCAAGCACAGUUUCAUUUCCGAACAUAUCACGUCUAUAUAAUGUACCUGUGUAUAUAAGUUUCUGAAUUUCAAUUAACGGCACUUAAUUUCUCUAUAUGCUUCAUAUACUAGAUCGAUGAAGUUGAAAGUUAGUUACUAUACAUUUUUCUCCAAAUUAUUAUUGUAGGUUCGGACUAUCAAUUAUUGUUGGUUGGUAGUUUAAGUUUGUGGUUCUCCUCUUGACAUGGCCGGAGACAUGAUCAACUCGCAUAACAUGCAUAUGCUCGAGAAUAUGAGGACUAUUUGAGGACCUGGAAAUUAAUGGCUGGUAGACGGGGUGACUCGGGGAUUAAAAGACCAUAUCGUUCUCGUUUUUGAAUUGAUUCUCCAUCCUCAUUUUCGACCAUAUCCCGGUUUCUAUAUGAUAAAAACUUCAAGUGGUUGCAUCCUCCUGGUUAGCACGGAAUGAUAGCAGCGUCAACGCUACUAAAGGCGAAGGUGAAUUGAGGUCGCAACUCCAAAACCGAUUUCGGGAUUUUGACAGUUUUGGAGCUGCGACCUAGCUAGUGUCUUGGCUCGAUUGGGUAUUUCCUUGUUGCUAGGUUUUUGCAUUGGUUACUACCAUUUGGCUUUUUGGUUACAUAGGUGAAAGAUUACCCUAAAUUCUACGUAUGACUUACUGAUUUAGGUGGGAUAUGUUUGGUCCGUCAUAUCACCUGUUAUUUGACGAAAAGUUGCCCUAUUAUUAUGAUGAUCAAUUAUUGGUGCUAUAUAUGUAUUCGGCAUACGUGAAAAAUGCAUGCCUGGCUGGCCAGUUACAUUAUUGAUGUUUCCCUUGAAUAUCAUCGACUAUUGAUGAUGUCUAAAGCUUUAGCAGUUUGAUGAAGCAAAAGAGGAAACAAACAAAGAAAAGAAAACAGGAUUUUUUUUACCACCUAGCAGAUUAUUGAGAUAGUUGUUAAGGUUAAUGAUGGGCUGAUAUCUACUGAGACCUCCUGCGACUUCCGGCCUGGUGUAAAUGCACCUUCCUCCGGCAACCGAUCAAUCGCCUUCCGGCAAAUGGGGCAUUCCGAAUGAGAGUAGAGCCACAUGUCUAUACAAGGCGCAUGGAAUGUGUGCUUGCAUUUUGGAAGCUGCCUCACAAAUUCCUCAUUCUGUAAACCUCUCAAGCACACCACGCAUUCAUUUUGAUCACAACUUUCCUCUUCCUGAUUUAGAUCAUCACUCAAUUCUUUCUUGUAGCUGAACGUGAUCACAUCCGGCUUCAGUUUCCGGUAAAUAAAGCAUUUCUCCUUGGCUGCUGGGUGAUCAUUUGGGUCCUCCUGGCUUAAUGUUGGAGCAGACAGUAUUUGUCUACCAUAUAAAUACCAUGCUACAGUAAAUACAAUGUAAAUUACAAAGCAAAUGAGUAUCACCCCUAAGAUCAAAAUGCCAGAAAAAAGCAAUGACAUUUUGACAUAGGUACGGUUUAAAUCUCUUGCUGAUAAUCCUGAUGAAUGGUCGAUAUUGUUUGAUCGAUCUUUUAGGCUUCAAACAGGAGUUAUAUAUAUAAAGAGUAGUCGACUAGUCGAGGUUUCGGAUAAUUGAUCCAAUUAGCAUAAUAACGACGUAGAAGUUGGGCUUCUUUUGUUAAUUAAAUAUCAAGGUAUCAGCCUCUCCGAGAUUCUUUAUCCUUGAGAUUCACUAUGAUCGAUACUUAUUUUGUGGGUUGUUUAGAGAGAUUCAGUUAGAAAAGCAUCUCCAGACUGCAUGGAAAUUGUAAUGACCCUUUAAUUUGGUGCUUAAUUACCAAUGUCAAAUACAUCUCUGCAUAAUUGCAUAUAUAAGGUUAGAUAAUUGAUCUAUGCAUUUUUCUUUCCAUGAUAGUUAAUUUAAUCGGAUGGUGCAACCAUAGUGCAAAGUAAUUGCUUCUAAGUAAUCCAUGACAACAGCUAAGCUGUCACGGGCUUAUCUUUUCCUUAAAGCUCUCGUGCGGCCUUAGCUUCUCCUUGCGCUAAGUCAGCCUAACUAGCACACAACACUUGGCUAGAACUCGAAAGAGUUUAAGAAGGGAAACUUGUAUUGAUUGUAUGGAAGCUUUACAAUGCUUGAAUGCUUGCUUGCUUGAUUCCCCAAAUGAGGGGUGGUGCCUCCUAUUUAUAGGCAACCAUGCCCCUUGGGAAAAUUCUAGAGAACUCUACAUAUUUACAAGCCUAGAUGGUUCUAGAUACAACUUGGAUACACUUGGAUAUACCUAGAGACUUCUAGAUACGUCUUGAUACUCCGAUACUCCGUAUCCUUCUAGAGCCUUCCGUAUCCUUCCUUGAUACUUGUAGAGUAUCCUAGAACAUUCUGGAUACGCCUACAAUGCUCCCUUCCAAGAAGUAUCCAAUGAGGCUCCGGACCCUUCUAGACCAAGGCCAAAACUUGCAGGGUGUGACAUAAGCCUUGCCUAAACACAUGUUGGAACCCAUUGAGCAAACUAACUAGAAAGUAUAAACAACGAGCUUUGGCCUUUUUCUUGAUUUUGAUUGAUAGUACGUGGUGGUAAAGUUCAGAAGAAGACUAAGUAACAUGUUAUUGAGACAGAAAAUAUAUUUUCUUAAGUGCCAUUACCAAGCCAUUGUCGCAUAUAAGCAUCAGGAGUAGCGCUUUAGAACUAACUGAUUAAUUUCAUCAAAACUAACCAAAUAGUUAAUACCAAAACAUCAACGAUCGAUUAACCAGUUAGCUCAUGAUAACUAAUCCAAAUUAAUUUGAUAUUGUUCGAUACAAAAGAUCUUGCUACAAUUAAGUGUGAUUCAUCCACUUAUAAGUUGUAUUUUAUUUAUUUAUUUUUUGAUGUGGGAUUUUUCCUCUCUAACAUAAAUUACUUCCAUUUUUGGUCGAAAACAUCGGUUUCAUUUAUUACAUUGAUCAGGGACGGAUCUUCCUUAUGAGCUAUCUGGGCUGUAGCCCAGAGAACAAUUUUCACCCAAUCAACCUUUUACAUGUGUAAACAAUAUUUUAUAAUAAUUUUCAGUAAUUUGCCCAGCCAAUCUCUCUCUCUCGUUUUUAAUCACGUGUUUUGCUUGUUUUUUUUUUAAUUGAACUUGGUAAUAACCCACAUUGUGCUUUACUUUGACGUUUUAUUUUAUAAUCUUUACUAUCCAGUAAUAGACUUGAAUGAAACAGAUGACAAAGUUUUUCUUUUUUAAUUGAAAAGUCAUAUAGAUACUAAAUUAUUUAUAAUUAUCCACCAACCGAUGAGAGAUUAUGGUAAAAAAAAAGAAAAAAAAAUUAUAUGGUAAACUUAGCCCAGGGUAUUUCGAAUUCCUGGCUCCAUCCCUGACAUUGAUAAUCAUAUAUGAAACUAGCUAGUUUUCAUACUAGGCUUGGAGGGAAAAUUAAUCAGCUGAAACAUGUUGAAAUAGUUGUUUGACAUUGUAAGGUCCUGUGACAUCGGGUGUUCCACUCCAUAGCAGCUCUGCUAUUGGCAUGUUUGCAACCUCAGUCGUAUGGCUACCAUCAAACCACAGAUAAUCUCCAACGUCAUUGAAUAGUUCAAAUGGUUUUGUUCCAUUGUAUCCACCACAAUAAGCUGCUCUGUACAGCCUUGUACCACAGCCAGGCCCGGAUUUGAAUAGAGGCACAAGAGGCUUGGGACUCAUGGCUCAAAAAUUUAAGGGGCCUAAAUUUUUUUUUUUUAUAGUUGUCCAAAUUUUAUUUAAUAGUUUUUUGGCUAUGCAAUCUGACAUGAAUUAAAGACAACUAUCCUAAAACAAAGACAAUUACACGUGAUGAGGGGCCAAACCAUCAAUUACUACUUUAAAUUUGUACCCACAAAAAAGUUAAAAUAUUAAAUAGAAGCAGCCAAACAUGUAAGAUAUUUGUUGUAUAGAUAUAAUUUAUAAUACAAUUAAGGUUACUAAACCAUCAAGGUUUUGGAAUCCUAUUUGCAUAAUAAGUAUUUUGCAUAAAAAUUCUAUAUAUUUUUGGAUGUUAUAUGUUAUUUUAUAUAUAUAAAAAAAAAUUAGGGACUCAACUUUGAGAGUUCGACUCAGGCCUCAAAAUCUCAGGUCCGGGCCUGACCACAACAUGCAUCUGUGGCAUUUCUGAACCCUGAUCAUAGUUAUAACCCAAACCAAUUAGCAAGUGUCGAAUUCAUCAGGAGCUAGUGAAAUUAAAUUAUAGAGAAUCGAUCGAUGAUAAUGUACCAUAUUUGGCAGGGUCGUUGAUUCGAUCAUAAAGAGAAUUAUAGUAGUCAAAUACUGAAUAUUUGAAUCCUGGUAGUUGGCUCUCGAACUCUUGCAAGACAGAAACUAGAGCUGCGUUGUGUAGAUUAGCGAGACUGUUGAGUCCUUCAACGCAUCCAUCUUUUGCUAUUGUAUUCUUGUCUCCUAUACGGUAUGCAUCCAAGCGGUCCAGUAUUUUGAAAUGCAAACUUCCUUCCACCUAAAUCAUACAUUUCCUACAAAAAAGAAAAGGGAGACAAGAAGAAGAAGUGCAAUGUAUGAAAGUUAAUUACAAGGAAACAAUAUUCCAACGAGAAAAAUUAAGAAAUUUUGCAUGCGUGGGGAGUGUAGAAGUAUUUUUCUUAGAAGUAAAUAUAAGCAUUUUGCAUAUUUUAAGUUUACCUCUAAUAUUACUAGUUUCGGCGUGACACCCUAUAACUUGGGCAGGAUUUGAUAAAUCCAACUAAACUGAAUCGUGGAUAUCAAUUUUGAAGGCUUGAAAAUCGAUUAAAACUUAAGCAAUCCAAUAUACUAUCUAGUACCGACGUCACACAGGAGGAUGAUAAGUUCAGUAAUAACAUCCUAAUUAAGAACCAAGUUCGACGACACAUCCAGGCAGAAGCUCCUGCAUGCGUUGGUAAAUUAUCUUUCAAUCUAAGUUGAGGUUUUAUAUUAGUUCACUAACUUCACUUUAGAACUCAAAGCGCGCGCUUUUGUUUUUGCUUCUCUAUAAUUAACUCUUGAUUUCAAACAAAGAUGAUUAUUAGUCAUUGGUUUAGUUAGUUGUAAAAUUCGUGAAUGGUAUACAUCAAGGUACCGUAGACAAUGCUUUAAAAUAGUGCAUCUACGUACUCGGAAUGAUGCUCAAGUUGCCAACCACAAGUGCUACUGAUUCGAGUUGAGCGGACUUGGUGGCAUUUGGGGAGUUGUUGUAGAAGGAAAAAUAAUCAUCCCCUCCGAUGCCCAUCAAGUAAACAGCAUCCUUGAGAAGGCGGCUUUAAAAUCACCCAAUUCCUGUUGCAGCGAUUUUUUGACGUCUUUCAAGUAGGCGAUUUUUUGACGUCUUUCAAGUAGGCCAACUGUUCUGGAAGACUUAUCUGAGUGAUCGAACCAAAAGAACAGAUAACUCACAUCAAUUAACAAGUAAAACAGAAAAGGAAAAUAAAAUAGUAGCAUUGGAUGUUCAUGUUUAUUCUAGAGAGAUAUAUAUAUAACUCAGAACGUACUCACCUUGUCUGGACUAGUCUCAACUCUCAACAAGAACCCCGGCUCCAGCCGAAGCAAAGUUGCAUCCGACGGUAUAAUCAUGUGGACCGGGUUGCAGGUAUGGUGGAAUCAUCGGCAGCUUGGCGUACUUUGCUGCAGAAAUUGAAACGAUUCACCCAUUGUUUUGAUUGUAGCUCCCAUAUGGAAAAUUAAGAAAUCAAUCGCACAUCAAUAAACAUCGCUACCUCCGUUCAUCGAAAAUUAUAGAGAGCACCCGGGUGCGCGGCGCACCCGACAUCUCCACCGUCCGUUUGAGCACGUGGACUUCGGCCGUUAGUUGGGCGUUUGCGGUCUGUUGGGUAGGCGAGUGAUGGGGCUAGGGUAAGUGGAUGUGAUCGCUCCUCAGAAACUCAACUUUAUGGUUUCGCCCAUCAUCGACGACGGAAGCGAUCGUCUUCUUCUAUGGAAGAGAGCCACAUCGCAACCUCUUAUUUCGUCUUGCUUAGAUUGCAGAAGACGGCUCGUUGUAUUCCAAUUCCGGAAGACAAAGAUAUGACUCUGUAGCCUUCGACUGGAAUCUCAAGGACCGAAUCCUGAACGUGAGGAGAUCGGCAUCUGAAAGGGUUAGGAUCAGGCUUUGAUGAAAUUAAGGGUCAGCAUACUUUCUUCAAUGUGUAGUUGUGCGCUACUUAUUAACUUCUCAUUCGUUUGAUUUGCUUUAAGAUUAUUUUUACUGGUCUUUAAAUCUAGGGAUGCUAUUUCAUGUACAGUUCAUUUCUCUGCAUUUGGAGUUUGCUUUGAAUAUUGAGUGGUAACUGAUGAUGGAUCCUGGUUCAAAUUUUAUCAUUUCAUCCAUUAAAGCUGACGCUAAAGUUUCCAUAAGGGUCCAGUUAUUUGCAAAGAAAUGUUGUUCGAUUAAAUUGGAAGGAGCCCAGAAAUCAAGAAUAAAAUUUAGCAGAGCUUUUGCUUCAUUUUGUUUUGCAAGUAUUCAUUGUCCAAUAUUAUCUACUUUUAGUUGUGUUCUUUCUUUUAGGUGUUGGUGNNNNNNNNNNNNNNNNNNNNAGAUUCAAAUCAUACGAAAAUACAAUCACACGAAAAUUGAGGAUUGUUCCUGAGGAGCCUGCCAAUUUGAUCGUCCUGAUCUCCAACGCCGGCGACCGAGGAUUCUGGUUCAGAAUCGAAAGUGAAUCGGAUUUCCCUUCCAAGCAAAUCUGAAUCCACUAAAUCUGUACAUCACGAUGAACAAUUUGACCACCGGAAGAGGAAACAGAGCUUACCGGGAGGUUUACAUGACGGUCGACGGCGAGCUGGUCGGGUCGGAGGUGCCGUUUCCGAUGGUGUUCACCGACGAGAUGAAUCCAGAGAUCGUUGCAAGCGAGAGGCCCGGUUGUCGAGGAAGAUGGUGACGGUGUAGUGCCGAUGCUCCUUGCUCGAGGGCGUCGGUGGCAACGCUGUCUUCCACCAUGGAAGUUCGUCGAGGUGAGAGAGAGGAAGAGAGAGGAGAGAUGAGAGAUGAGUGAGAAGUGAUCGGGAAAGAAGAUAAGAAAGGAGUGAUGGGAAUAGAACAGUGGGUAUAAAUGUCUUUUCCUUAUGAAUAAUUGAGAUGGGCAUUGGGAAAAGAUUAUCAUUGAUGUGGGCAAUAAAUCUUUAAAAUUAGUAUCAUUAAGGCAUUUACUCUAUAAAAAAAUGUAUAAUAUUUGAUUCAUAAAUUAUUUCAGUAAUUAAGUUAAAGUUAACCGAAGGAUUAAACAUAGAACUUGGAUGCUGCCAAUUACCAAUCUCAUUAGAUUUUCUACAUUUCGUCAGUUCAAUAAUACUGUCGUCUUUUUAUGUUUCGUUUAUGAUUAAUUAUUACCCUAAUUGUUGGUAUACUACUUUAUUGAUUAUGUGUAAGAGAUAGUUUGGUUUUUCAAUUUUAUGAAGCUUCCCUGAUGUUUAUAAUGUGCAUACUAUUCCAAAAAAUGUUCUUACUAAUAACAUUCCAAGUCUAGACGUCAUCGAAUUUCCGUACAAGUAGGUCUUUGUGUUUAGUUUACACUGAUCGUAUUGUAACGACGAUUGCUGAAGUUGAAAGCUAAUUAUAUUUGUAUAUAACAGGUGAAAAUACUUGUAAACAAAAUGAAAUACAUUCAUAGAGGCACACACUAGUAUACCACGUACAAUUACGAGUUUCAUUUCUCCUCUCCUUAUUAAUUAGUCGGUUCCACGCUUGGAUCAACUUUGCACCUUGAUGUAGUUAAUCAACUAUUGUUGACUAAUUAAACAUGGGAAGGUGUGGUGUUGGGUGGAGUCGGAGCUGAGGCCACGCGCCUACCACGCUCAGACCUACUGUUCUCUGCAAACUUGAUACUCUGCUGGUGCAGACCCUUCUGCUUCUCUUCCUCGGUCCACUCAGACCCAUAAUAGAACUCUUCAGUAGAUUUCUCGACGUGUUGAGAAGCUGGGAGGAACAUGCUUCCCCACUGUGGAAAAUGAACCAAAGUCACUGGUAGAGUGCAGCACACAAUCAUAACCCCCAUGAAGGAUAGACCAGUGCCUGUGGAGAAGGCUGAGGAUGAGAAAAACACAAGUUGCGUUAGUCCGGAGCCAAAGUUGCCGCCAGCGCCGGUGAGACCUGAUAUGAUCCCAAGAGAUCGUCGAGAAAUGAAUGGGAUGAUUCCAAAAGUUGCGCCACAGGCAGCCUGAGCGCCUACGGAGAAGAGGAUCAUGGCAGUGAUGGCGACGGGGAGUGUGUUGGCCCGGCCGAGCCAGAUGCAGAAGACUCCUCCUAGGGUUUGUAGGAUCCAGAGAGUCCAUAGCCUGCCCCUCAUUCCAAAAUACCUGGCUGCUCUAUCGGAAACAAACCCACCAAAGGGUCGAGCUAAGAAGUUGGCCAUACCGAAUGUGGCGGCAAUGAGCCCGGCAGUGUGGAGCUUGAGGUUGAACCUACAGGUUAGAUGGUUGACAUUUGGUUAGGUUUAGCUUGCCUUUUAAUUACUUGUUAUCCAAAUAGGGACUUAGAAUCAGUAGAAUAUAAAAAUAAGAUUCAGAAUCCACUUUUAAAUAAGUAAAUUAUUGUGGAAAGCAACAUACCUGUCAUAGAAAUAUUCAGCAAUGACAUUAUCAGUUGACAACUCAACGCCCAUGGAGUAACCAUAGAGAAGCACAAAGAUCCACGUCCUGUAGUUUGUGAUGGCGUACCACAACACCUGUUCAGAUCAAACUACAGAUUCAGCUCUCGGGGUUCUUUUAAAUGUAGGAACAAUAAAGAUAAACAAAUAUCCUAAUUAAACUGACCUUUUUAAAUUCAUCUUUGGCAACUUCACCCUUCUUUUGUAGGGCCCCAAGAUUCCCAUCUGGCAAGUCUUGGCCAAGAGUCAAGACCAUGAUCCCCAUAAUGAUAUGAAGCCAACCAGGAAUGAAGAAAGCAAUUCUCCAAGCAGUGAAAGGAGUCGCUCCGGCUCUGCCGAUAAUAUCAAACACAAUAGGCAUCAAGAGCUGAGUGGCGCCACCACCCAUGUUACCCCAACCUGCUGCAGUUCCAUUGACCAGACCUAUAAUCUUGCUGUUGAACAUGGUGCUCAUCCAGUACUGGCAAGAAACGAAUGUAGCAAGAGAGAAACCAAUCAUGAACCUCACGGCUAAAUAACCCCCCGCAUCUGCAACGAAUGACAUGCAGAACACUGUGGGUGCGGUAAGCAUUAUGAGAAAUGCGCAUCCAUAUCGUGGUCCAAGCAAGUCGCAUACUGCGCCCAUUACAAGCCUAGAAAAUAUACUCCCUGUGAAACAAACAAAGAAUAUAUAGUGUGUCAAGAGAAAUAUCGGGAGAGAGUUUGUAAAUAUCAAAGGGAACUAGCUAAUCGAUCUGAAAAGGAAAUUUUAAGAAACUAAGGAAUCUGACCUGAAACAGAAGCGACUCCAGCAUUUCCGAUGUCUUGCUUGGUGAGGUUGAGAUUGUCUCGGAUGAUAGGGACGAGGGGAGCUGCAGCGAAAGUCGAGACGAAGCAAGUGAAGAAGGAGAUCCAAGAGAGGUGGAAGGUUCUCAUGUGAGGAUUGGCCAAAGAGAAUAGCUUGAAGACUUUAGCCUUGUGCUCAGAAUCAACUGGCAAAUCAAAUUUUGCUGUUCUAUCGGUCGGGACAAUAGGUGAAGCCACUGAUAAUGCAAAUGUUUGCUCUUUUCCAGUGACUCCAUGCAUGGAGCUUCCUGGUUCACCUUCCAGUUCCGCCAUUUAGGGUUUCGAGUUUUGGGGAUCUCGAGUAUGAAGGAAAGGGCCGGGAGGCAGAAGCUUGUACUUGAUUAAAAUGGAGAUGUGAUGCUGUGUGAGGAACUUAAGAAGGGAGUGUGGCUUUUAUAUAGGGCUUUGGCGUUGACAUUGUAAAUAGCUCUGAACUUCUGAAGAGUCGAGAAAGAUUCUAAAUAUAUUCGAAAAGAGUUUGUGAUUCAGUUCUCCGCAUCUGAAAUGAACAGGAAUGGUCUCAUCGUAUAUCCCAAAGGAUCACAUAACCAGCCUAAUAGGCCAACAGCUGUUUAACUGCCUAGUAAACUGCAUACUAUAUACCUUAAUCUUAUUUGUUAAUUCUAAUGAAUAUCCUAAUUAUUCGGAAAUCUUAGCUCAGCACAUUGUUCCAUGCGCAGAAUACAAAUACCAUCAAAAGGUAUUGGUUGCAUAGAUUAAGACACAGAGAGAUAUUGUCUUCGCAGAUCAGAUCGAUAAUACAAAUAAACGUACAUUAUGGGCAUGUCUAUGUUAUCCUUAAUCUUUCUGUAUUUCAUGAUAAAAUUCAAAUGACUAAUUAGAUAUAUACAAGUAUACAACAUCAUUCCGUUUUAUUUUAGUUGAUUUUUGUACACUUUGCUGUGAUCGAUAUACAGUUUUUGUCAAUUUAGAACAAGAAAUCCAAGCACGUUAUAUUACUUACUUGCAUGUUAAGCAAUUUAAUCAAGCAAAACAUUUUUGCAUAUCUCCUUUGGAAAUUACUUAACCUCCACUCAAAUGGAGUGAAUAUUGUUCAUAAUAUUUAUUUUAUCGUCCCUGCAAUUAUGUCCCCCUAAUUUGCUAGAUAAUUUAACCCAAUAACGUGUUUGGUUUUGGGUAGUUUUUCUUUGGUUAGGUGAUUACCCUUUCGGACUAGGGAAAAGAACCAAAAGCCCUCACCCGUCACCACCAUACAAUAGUUUCAUCAAUCACCGCCCACGACUGUUUUAUAUGUGUUUACAUUCAUGCUUAUUCUUAAUGUGUUCACUUUGGUCUGCAAGUAGAAGCAAUUUGCUAUAUAUUUCUUAUUGCCUAAAUCAAUCUGAUCGACCUAAGUCAAUGACGUGUUGAAGGAGGGACAAUAAGCACCGUUGGCUGUUAUUCACAACAGUGAUUUAUGAGCUGUAAGGUUGCAUGUAGCUAUAGGAAGUAACAGUAAACGAGUGUUUUCUUCAUCCACAUUGUAGCCUAAUUUCCACACAUCAAAUCAUCUCUCUCUUAUUUAGCUUAAUUAUUGGAUAACGUAUGUGUACAUUUCAAACAUUGCUGUGAGUUUAUCAGAUAGUUAUGUAUGAUAUAUAGCCGGCUCUAAAUUCCAAUCGUAUAUUGCUCAAUUUGAUGGAUUGCAUCAUUUGGAUGUUGCUCACCCUUCAAAGUUUUUUCAGUAAUCGAUCUGUAGUUUUUCAAAGGAUUGCAUGGAACAACUUGGCAAUUCAUUGAAACGUCUUCUUUGCAGAAGAGAAAAAGAAGAAAAUUAAAAUUAAGAUUAACCAAAUUCGAAACCCUAGCUUUCUAUGAGCUAGACAUGUAUAACCAAUAAAUUAUUUCAAGUCUUCUGCAUCAAUCAAUCAACUGGCUAAACCCUGCAGAUAUAUUUAGAAAAAUUCAAACCCUACAACUUGCAACUCAUCUAUCGAUGGCCAAUGAGAAGGAUGAUAUCGAUGAACCAUCUUCCUCUCUCUCUUUCUUCAUUUGGAUUAGAAUUCCUCAUAUAAUUAAGAAUCCAAGUCAUACAUUGUCAUAUACUAAAUGAUAUAUAAUUACAAACAACUUUUCAGUUACUCAAAGAGGGAUUCGGACAACAUGCAUGACUUGGUCUUUGUCGGGAAUGCAUUGGAAGGGAGCUGUAUUUCCCGCGUUUCAUAAUUCCUCAGAAAAAGAGGAAGAGCUAGCUACAAAAACAAAGUGUGCUUGCUGAUAUCUUAUGAGAGCUUUACAAUUUUAAUAAGAAAAUCAGGUCGACUGUGUAUUACGUCAAUCCAAAUUGGAUCGGCUUCGCUUGCUAAGGACAAAUAGAUAAGAAUGUUGGCAGAUGUUAUAUAUGUAUGCAUAUAUAUUAUUGUGUCUGUCCGAUUCACAGAUAAUCUAACUAAAAUUAGCAGCUCUUAUUUGUCUUCAUAAAAUAGACCCUUGUACGUUUGUACUUUUCAUAUAAGAGUGUUGAGAGGGCAUCAAAUAGUAAGGAAAACGAAUUCGAGAGUUGCAUAAAUUAAAGAUUACUGCACCAAGUUGGUGCAUGUUUUUCACAUAUGAUUUACUCUUCUCUAAUAUUUCGAAAAGACAGAGAAGGAACCUAGGGUUUCAAAGCUUGCAGCGCGGCAACUCUCUAGCUCUAGCAUUCCUUUGUCGAGCAGAGAAGUCUUCAACUUCGCUGCGCCGGUGCUCAUCAUCUUGAUGUUCGGGCACUGGGCAUUUUGCAGUGCUCAUAUGUUGAUUUUAGUAUGGGAUUGCUAGAUCUAUUUGGUUGCUGUGCGAAGCAGAUUGUUUUUCUAAACAUAGAGGGAGGUCGACUUGAGGCAGGUAGCUGUAUGUGAGUUGCGACUGUGAUCCACAUGCAGCUAGGCUUUGCAUGAAAACCUUGAAUCGAGACGCGGAGGAUAGACAAGUCCAAAAUGUCGCAACACAAGAAUACACAACUCUAUUGCACUCUUUUCUGCUUAAGACUAUUGUGGCUAUGGGGGCCUAACUAGAGAAGCGGCUAUUGGCAAAGGUUUCAUGAUUUAAUCGUUCGAAUUAGUUUAUCUGCCUCGAGUUUAUUCUCUCCCCUCUUGAUGUAGAUCCAAAGAUAGUAAGCACUGCAUCAAAUAACUACCUAAACAUGACUCAAUAUUUGGAUAUAUUGCUCCAACUAAUUAAAAUGUCAGCCAAACUGAGGAUGAAGUAUACCCUACUAAGCUCUAACAAUGAGUUGACUUCUAACUUCAAUGUCAAUGGGCAUCCUUCUCAAUUAUGCUAAUAAUGUGUUAUUAUAUUUGUGCUCACAGGUCUUAACAGAUAUCUCUUUCUUGAUCGAGAAAUCGAGAAUUAGAUUAUAUAUGAUGGACAUGAGAGCUAUACAUCAUAGGGUGAAUGCAUCUCCGAUUCUCCAUGCAGUAUCCACCAUUGCAUCUCAACCAUUUACAACUAAUAUAUCUUAGAGAAGAAAUUAAACUUAGAGGUACCAAAACUUCAAGCCUAUGUAGUUACAGAAACUACUACAUUAGAGAAGGAUUAAUCUUAGAGGUACCAAAACUUUAAGCCUAUGAAGUUAGAAUUCCUCUGUUCUGUAUUUUAUGAUAACACAUAACAUAACUCAAUGACAUCUCUCUGCCUUCUAACUUCGGUAGUAUAAUAUCCAGCAUCCAGCUACGUGAUAAGCCUAUAAACUUAUCUAUAUAUUACUUUGUAUUGACUAGUACCAAUAAUCCAAACCCAUCAAUAAUGCAAAGUACUUUAAUCCUCUUAUCACCUCCUUAUGGUUAAGGAGGAUAGCUAGGGUUGGGCGAAAACCGAACAUAACCGGGUUUAACCAAAAAACCGCUCGAAAAAGCAGGCCGGUUAACCGAACCGGAAAAACUGUUGGAAAAAUGACUCAAACCGGCCCGAACCGGUUUAAACCGGUUUGGAUCCAGUUCAGCCCCCUAAACCGCCUGAUUAAACCGACCCGAAUAUUAAUAUUUAAUUAUUAUUUUUUAUAUACGUGUCACAUCAUUAAUGGUGCAUACAACUCCUUACCGUGUACCCUCCCACACUGAAUCCUCCAUAUAGAUACCUAAAAACCCUAACCCUAAAUUGCUAAAUCCAUUUCUCAUUUUCGAUCUGCCUCUCAAGUCUCAGUCUCUCUCAUUUCUCAUUUUCUUUCAGGUGAUAGAUUUAGGUCCAUCCAAUCCAUCGUCAAACAACCAUGGAACGACCCCUACAUCAACUCCUGCAUCAGGUUCCAUGGUUCAGCACAGGCUGCACAGCUCUCAAGCUCCACCUGAUGCUGCUGCUGCGUCAGGGAAUUCUUCCUCGGUUCAAUCCAAGAGGAAGAAUCACAGCAUCGCCUGGGAUCAUUUUACCCUGAUGAAGAAUCCCGAUGGCACACCUCUCGCCAAGCCGAGAGCGAAGUGCAAUCACUGUCUGCAAACCUAUGGAUGUGAUACGAGAUCGAAUGAGACAAGUAACAUGAAGAAUCACUUGUUGUUCCAUUGCCCGAAGUGUCCACUUAGGGUCCCCAAGAAACAGAAGCAGUUGGUAAUUUCAUUUCUCUCACUUUCUGCAUUUUCAAACACAGUUUAUACUGUCGAUUAGUUGAGUUACUGAUUUACAUUUUCGUUUCAAGGCACAAGAGUCUUUCGACAAGGGGGGUAAGUUAGUUGCUUGGUCUUAUGAUGAGGAUGUAUGUAGGUUAGCUCUUGCUAGGAUGGUAGUUAGGGAUGAAUUGCCAUUUAGUUUUGUUGAUGGGCCUGGGUUUAAAAAUUUUAUAAGUCAAGUUCAGCCAUAGUUUAAGAAGUUUUCGCGUAGGAUAGUUGCUAGAAAUAUUUGGGAGUUGUAUGAGUCGGAGAGGAUUACAAUCAAAAAUAUUUUAGCCACUUAUGGACAGAGAGUUUCACUAACCACUGAUACUUGGACUUCGAUCCAAAAUAUCAAUUACAUGGUGCUCACAGCCCACUUUAUUGAUGAUGAUUGGGUUUUACACAAAAGAAUCUUAAACUUUUGUGUGAUACCAAACCAUAUGGGGAAGACAAUAGGGCAGCUUGUCGAAACUUGUCUCAUUGGGUGGGGAAUAGAGAAAAUUUUCUGCAUUGUUGUUGAUAAUGCUUCUCCUAAUCAAGUGGCUUUGGAUUACAUGAAAGAGAAUGUCACAUCCCGACCUUUAAAAUUUUUACCUUAUUUACUAGCUUGAUAUUAAUAAGAAUUUUACCGUCUCUGUCAAUGAGUUAUGGUUUAAUUGGUCCCUAGAGGGGUUUUGGGGGACGACUAUUUCGAUGGAAUUAUUCGUAGGAGAAAAAUGUGGCGACGGUAAAAAUGGUAAAUUUUAGCUAGUAAAAGGUAAUUUUUAUAGGGUAUUAUUUUGUGGUAUUAUUUUUUAGAAUUGGGUUGGUAUGUAGUUGGGGUAGGGGACCGGUUGGGAGGCCCAAUUCCCUCCCUCUCUUUUUCUUUCUUUUUCUCUUCUCUCCUCUUCCCUGACUCUCUCCCACCGCCAGAUUUCUUCUCGGCCGUCCGCCGCCGUCCUGCCACCGUGCCGCCGCUCCAGUUCCGAUCGGUCAGCCCUCGACCCAGCUUCCCUCCUAGACCGGUGAGAGCUCCCCUAGCGCCGCCAUGAGAGAGAGUUGCCGCCCGAAACCUCCGGCUGUCCAAAGCUCUCCGUCGUCGGAACUUCCUCCUCCGGCCACCAAUCUGGGCAAGCCUUACAUGGUUUUGAAGGCCUUCAACCCAGUUGCCUUGCCCUAGGAGGACUCGGUCCAGUUUGCUUCAAGUGAGGAGAAACGGUGAGUGGAAACUCUAGGGCUUUUUGUGAUGUUUUCGUUCGAUUGGCAUAGUUAGGCUUGGAAUUGGUGUUGUGCUAAUUAAGAAAGUUGUAGGGUGAGUUGAGAGGAAGAUGCUGUCAAAUUUUGGUAGGCAUUGGAGGUCGCCGAAAUCGGCCUCCGGCCGCCGCUGUCGGCGUGGCUACCGGCGGCGCCACCGCUGUUUGGGAGAUUUUUAUGGUUUUAAAUGUGGAAUAUUAAAGGGAGUUUAUUGAUGUGAAUUAUGGAAUUUUUGGAUGAGUUUUGGUCGGGUUUGUGAAUUUCCGAAGUUUGGUAUUUUUGGCGGUUAAUUAAUGUAGAAUCCGGCCGUAGGAUUUAAGUCAUUGUUCUGGGAAGGUUGUAUUUACGGCUGCCGUUUAUGGUAUUAAAGUUUGGAUCGUUUCGAUUUAGGAAUAUCGAAGUUAGACGAGAAUGAGCGUGGUUGCGGCUCAUGUUUAAUUUGCCUAUUUUUGAGUAAGUAAUGGAUUUUUGGUUGGUAAUUUUAAUUAUUAUAUUUGGAACAGGACGUGAGGAGGCUCAAGCAGAAGAGACCUCAGAUUGACGUCAGGCUUAGGCCUAAAGUUGUGAGUAGACUUUUGUUUUAAAUAAUAUGCAUGCUAUGGUUCAUGGAUGAACAAUUAAUGUUGUUGGAGUAUUUUGACGUCAUUUUAAUUUUUGACGAUUUUAUUUCUCUUGGAGAAUUACCGAAAAAUCUCAUUUUUCGGUGAGUAUAAGUAUGUAUAUUGAGGAGAGUAUGUAUAUAAAUGCUAGCUAGCCAUAUGUGUCUGUCCACCUUAAUGGCGUAGCAUAUAGCCGCAUUAUGGUGUGACGUGAGUGUAGUAGCCCUAUAUGAGUGUUUAAUUCAUAUAGGGGGUAUGGACACAUAUUUAUACACCCGUCUAUCCACCUUAAUGGCGCAGUGUAGCACCGCAUUAAGAUGUGACGUGAGCGUUGGACGCGAGCGUAGUAGCCCUAUAUAGACCCAUGAAUUUAUAUAGGGAGUAUGGACGUGUGUAAAUACAUACAUAUAUUAUAGAGCCUGAGAGGCUCGAUAUUUUUAUGAGAUAAAAGUUUUAUCGCUUGCGGCAUGCAUUCGAUUUUUCCUUGGAAAUUGAUAUGGGGAAACAUAAAUAUUUUAUUUAUUAAUUUAUUUUUGUCCACUCACUCUAACGUGUUUCAAAUGUUUUUCUCUGGGCCCUUCGUUUUAAAAUGCCCAGUUUGCAGGAUUGCAUAGUUGAGAUCGGGCGUACAUGGAGAUUAGGCAUAGUCAUCAUAUAGCUUCCGCUUGUUAAUUUAUUAUGUUUCCUUUCUUCCUGUUAGAGUUACUCUGAACCUAUAAAUGGUUGGAUACAGUACCACAAAAACCGCUUUAAACAACGCCUAUCAGACGACGUAUAAUGAUAACCCGUCGUAUGAUUGAUUUUUAACUUUUUAGAUGUCAGUUUUNNNNNNNNNNNNNNNNNNNNCAAAUUAAAAAACUUCAAACUUGACCGUUUGAUAUGAUUAGUGUAUUCAAAUACAGUUAUGGAAAAAAAUUCACAUGUUUUCGAUAAAGUUUAGGUCACGAUCCACGCAGUCAACCUUCAACCAACGUCACUUAUUACACGAAAACACUCUUACCCACCCUUAUUGACUUAUUUUGGCCUAUUCUUCCUCACACACAUGAGAUGAGAUGCAGCUGCCCAUGUAAAAAUUUGUGAAAUUAAACCUCCCGACGAUAGGGAUCCCCAUAAGGAAUAAUAAGCGUUCAUAGAGUUAACCGCCUUAAUCGGGGUCCAAACAUUAUCGAACAUAUGUGAAUUUCCUACCAUACUCGUAUUUCACUAUACAUAUUAGAUCCUACGGACGAUUAUUUAAAAUUGUAUUUGCAAGAUAUAGUUGCUUCACGAAGAUCUACACUUGCAUAAAAUCUACUAAACAAGUUAUACCAUUUUAAUAAGCACGUUGUGGUUCUAAUGACGAAAAUUAAAAGAAUUAAAACUUGACCGUAUGAUAUGAUUAAUGUAUUUAAAUAUGGGUAUGAAAAUAAAUUCACUUGUUUUCGAUAACGUUUAGGUCUCGAUCCACGCGGUCAACCUUAAUCCAACGUCACUUAUUACACAAAAACUCUCUUAUCUACCCCUAUGUGACCUAGUUUGGUGGAUUCUUUCACAUACAAAACUCUCACAUUGAUGAGAUGUAACCACCCAUGUAAAAAUUUAAGGACGUUCAUCUCCCUACGAUAGAGCUCCCCAUAGGAAAACAUAGGCGUAAAUAGGGUUGACCGCUUCUAUCGGGGAUCAAACGUUACCUAAAAUAUGUGAUUUUUCAACCGUAGCCGUAUUUCACUGUAACGAUCACAUCCUAUUUCAUAAGAUUUUUGAAAAUAUUGCUUCCUCCGUAUAGUUCGUUCACAAAUAUGUACACUUGCACAUAACUUGCUAAACAAGUUAUACCACGUUGUGGUCCCAAUGGCUAAAUUUUACAAAAUGAAAAUUCAACCGUCUGAUAUGAUAAGCGUACUUAAAUAUGGCUAGGGAAAAAAAUUAACUUGUUUUCAAUAACAUUUGUCUCUCGAUCGACGCGGUCAACUUUAAACCAAUGUCAUUUUUACACGAAAGCUCUUUUACCUACCCCUAUAUAACCUAGUUUGGUUGAUUCUUUGUUGGUGCAAAAAAAUUCAGAAGAGAGAUUUCCCAACAAAGAUCUCACUCCUUUGAUUCUUGAGGAGCCUUGGACGCAUCCAUACGACGGUGAAUCUAGGGGAAAGAGGUACCUGCAAAACAAAUACACACUCCGACGCCCAAGUCAAUUUCGAUUGAAGCAUGUACAAUAAAAGAAAUCGGUUCGAUACUUAUUACCGUUGUUAUCCAUAAUUGUUCCUCCCCAUUCUCCUCCAUUCCUCUCCAUAAGCGUGUGAAUUUAUAGACCUUUUAUUUCUUGGUCCUCACUUCCCGUUGUAGUGGGAGUAGUGGGAGGAGCAUGUUCUCCAUUAACGAUCAUGUUUCACGUUGGUUAUCAUGAUAAUGUUCAUCUUGGGAUUUGACCAUCGAUCGGGCCUAAUUCAUUAAAUGGGGGUCCAAGCCGAAAUUUUAUAUCCCCACAUUCUUACACUCACAAAACUCUCACAUUGAUGGGAUGUAACCAUCUAUGUAAAAAUUCAGGGACGUUCACCUACCAACGAUAGAGCUCCCUGUAGGAAAGCAUACCGAAAAUAGGGUUGACCGUUUCUAUAGGGGACCAAACAUUACCGGAAAUAUGUAAUUUUUCAACCAUAGCCGUAUUUCACCAUAACGAUCAUAUCCUAUUUCACAAGAUUUCUAAAAAAUUGCUUCCUCCAUAUAGUUGGUUCACAAAGAUGUACACUUGCAAUUAACCUAAUAAACAAGUUAUACCACAUUAGUAGCCACGUUGUUGUUCUAAUGCCUAAAUUUAUUAAAAUGAAAAUUCAACUGUCUGAUAUGAUCAGCGUACUUAAAUACGGCUAUGGAAAAAAAUUCACUUGUUUUCAAUAACAUUUGGCUCUCGAUCAACGCGGUCAACCUUAAACCAACGUCACUUAUUACACGAAAACGCUCUUACCUACUCCUACAUGACCUAGUUUGGUUGAUUCUUCCACACACAAAACUCUCACAUUGAUGAUAUGUAAUCACCCAUGUAAAAAUUUGGGAACGUUCACCUCCCGACGAUAGGGCUUUCCCUAGGGAAGUAUAGCGUAAAUAGGGUUGACAACUUCUAACGGGGACCAAACGUUACCGGAAAUAUGUGAUUUUUCAACCAUAGCCAUAUUUCAUCAUACCGAUCACAUCCUAUUUCACAAUAUUUUUGAAAAUAUUGCUUCCUCCAUAUAGUUGGUUCACAAAGAUGUAUACUUGCAUAUAACCUACUAAACAAAUUAUAUCACAUUAGUAGCCAUGUUGUGGUUCUGAUGGCUAAAUUUCACAAAAUGAAAAUUUAACCGUCCGAUAUGAUCAGAGUACUUAAAUACGGCUAAGGAAAAAAAUUCACCUGUUUUUGAUAACGUUUGGCUCUUGAUCGACGCGGUCAACCUUAAACCAACGUCACUUAUUACACGAAAACGCUCUUACCUACACCUACAUGACCUAGUUUGGUUGACUAUUCCACACAUAAAACUCUCACAUUGUUGGGAUGUAACCAUCUAUGUAAAAAUUUAGGGGCGUUCACCUCCCGACGAUAGGGCUCCCCGUAGGAAACCAUAAGCGUAAAUACGGUUGACCGCUUCUAUCGAGAACCAACGUUACCGGAAAUAUGUGAUUUUUCAACCAUAGCCGUAAUUCACCAUACCGAUCACAUCCUCUUUCAUAAGAUUUUUGAAAAUAUUGCUUCCUCUGUAUAGUUAAUUCACAAAAAUGUACACUUGUAUAUAACCUACUAAACAAGUUAUACCACAUUAGUAGCCACGUUGUGGUUCCAAUGGUUAAAUUUCACAAAAUCAAAAUUCAACCGUCUGAUAUGAUCAACGUACUUAAAUAUGGCUAAGGAAAAAAAUUCACCUGUUUUCGAUAACGUUUGACUCUCGAUCGACGCGGUCAACCUUAAACCAACGUCACUUCUUACACGAAAACGCUCUUACCUACCCCUACAUGACCUAGUUUGGUUGACUCUUCCACACACAAAACUCUCACAUUGUUGGGAUGUAACCAUCUAUGUAAAAAUUUAGGAGCGUUCACCUCCCGACUAUAGGGCUCCCCGUAGGAAAGCAUAAACGUAAAUAGGGUUGACCGCUUCUAUCGGGGACCAUAUGUUACCAAAAAUAUAUGAAUUUUCAACCAUAGCCAUAUUUCACCAUACCGAUGACAUCCGAUAUCACAGGAUUUUUAAAAAUAUUUCUUCCUCCGUAUAGUUGGUUCAUAAAGAUGUAUACUUGCAUAUAACCUACUAAUACACUUGCAUAUAACCUACUAAACAAGUUAUAUCAUAUUAAUAGUCACGUUGUGGUUCCAAUGGCUAAAUUUCACAAAACUAAAAUUCAACGAGGAAAAAUGGGGUCUCGCACGAUGCUAGUCAAACGCGUAUUGUCUAAAAGAUGAAGUGGUAUUAAGGUUGACCGAUUCGAUGAAGGGCCUAACUAAUCCGAAAUAGGGUGAAUUAUUUUCAGUAAACCUAUUUAAUUACAAUGACUACAUCCGACGGUGAAAUUUUUAUUUUCACAUAUUUAUGACCUCGGACACCACAUGUCUACUAAAGUGGUAUAACUUAUUUAUUAGGUUAUAUGCAAGUGUACAUCAUUGUGAAUCAAUUAUACAUAAGAAGCAAAUUUUUUGAAAAUCUUGUGAAAUAAGAUGUCACAAGAAUAGUGGAAUAUAGAUUACGAUGAAAUAUCACAGACUUUCGAUAAUGUUUGGUUUUCGAUAAAAGUGGUCAACUCUAAAUACGUUUAGGCGUGCUUACCCACUGGAGGGUCAAUUUAACAAUUUUUUUUCAUGCUUUCCUGAAUCUCAUGUAUACAAGUUUUAUGUUCGAAAACAAGUAAAAAUGGGUUUCUGCACGAAGUUGGUCAACCGUGUUUUGUGUAAAAAAUGAAGUUGAAUUCAGGUUGAUCGGUUUUAUGGGGGGCCUAACGAAUCCGAAACGAGGUGGAUUUUUUUCAGUAGACCUAUUCAAUUACAAUAACUACAUCGGACGGUGAAAUUUUUAUUUUCACAUAUUUAUGACCUCGGAUCGCCAUGUGCCUACUAAAAUGGUAUAACUUGUUUAGUAGGAUAUAUGCAAGUGUAUAUUAUUAUGAACCAACUACAGAAGAAGCAAAAUUAUCGAAAAUCUUGUGAAAUAAGAUAUGAUCGGAAUAAUGAAAUACGUCGAGGGUUGAAAAAUCACAAACUCCGGUAACUAUUGGUUCAUGAUAAAAAAUGGCUAACUCUAAUUUCACUUAUACGCUUCUAUGGGGAGCCUAACUACCAGAGUAUCAAUUUAAUAAUUUGUUUUCGUGGGUUCCUUAAUAUCAUCUAUGAGUUUUAGGUUUGAAAAUGGGAAAAAAAUGGGGCCUUGCACAAUACCGGCAAAAUGCGUUUCGUGUAAAAAAUGAGUUUGAAUUAAGGUUGACUGAUUUGAAGAGCUUGUUUUACAUAGUAAUUUAUAUAAUAUUAAAAUUUCAUUUUCAUUAGAAUUCCUAAGCCCAUUCAGGAAAAUUUAUAAAUUAUGAAACAAUCAUGUUAAAAAAAAAAAGGGAAAAUUACACGUUGCAUUAAUUAUACAAAACACUUGCGUUCUAACUAAAAAAAUAAAUAAAUUCCAUAAUCCCUAAUCACCAACCCUAUACCCUAUACCCUAAAUCCCAAACUCUAACCCCUAAACCGAAAAAGAAAGAAAAAUAAUCCAGCUUCAAAGUGUCAGUUCGAGAAUAGCUCGAAUUGGGCAGCAUCUUUUCACCUCCACUUCCAAUAUUUACCAAUAUCGAAUCCUCAAUUCCUCAUUGAAACCUUGCAUCCUCCGCCGAAACCCAGAUGCCAGAAAACAAGAGCUCCGAUCCAAAACCUAAAACCCUAAUUUGCAUAGUGUUUCCACCUGUAGUUCACCAGAUAAGCAUCAGCAAACAAAAACCUAUAAUUUUUCAAUCAAAACAAACAAAUCCCAUCUACAAUCUUUUCUCAAAUCACUUCAAUUACAGAACAAACCAACCAACAUCACAACACGAAAAUACAUGAUUGGAUGACAAUAUUUUACUGGAGAUUUUGAGAUGAAAUAAAAACCCAAAAAGCGGAUUGAGCAGAGAAUGAACGAACCCAGUUCUCCCACCGCCAGUCAUGGUCGAGAGCGGCGCGACGGCGAGCCUCGCUUGUCGAUGAAAUCGGCCAAGGAUUGGGCCUCGAAUUGCGUUGUUGACAAGCUCGGUAGACGCCCUAGUGCAGUUGCACGGUAGGAGACGACCUGAAGUCUGAAGGGGAGACCUCGAAGCUCUUGGGUCGUUGAUAUGGUUUUCAGUUUUGAGUGAGAUGGCUGUGUAAUUGAGAGAUAAGAGAGGAGAAAUUAAGACGAAACAAGACCAGUCGACGCUAACGUCGUUUGGCUUGCACGCGUUCCUAGACGUCGGGCGCACCCGGGUACGCUGAAUACGCUCUCUAUGAAACUCAAAUAAAUUACUUAAUUUAUCAUGGCACAGUCAAUUGGCUUUUGAUAUGAAACUCAUAUUAAUUACUUAAUUUAUCAUGGCACAUGCAUGACGGACAUAUCCCAUUUUCAUGUAUCAUGGCCACACAGUCUUCAUGUCCAUUAUAAGUUAUCCUCAUGUAAGGUCACAAAUUAAUUCACCAUGGGUACAAGAGAUCUCACAUUGGAAAUUGAGUACUAAUUACAUAAGAGUUUACAAAGAUUUUAGCUGUUUCAUCCUAUUGUUAAUUGAUUUUAGACGUGACAAUUUUAUAGUUGUAUCAAACGUGUGCAUACAUUACGGACACACAUGUAUAACUUGAAAAAUUCAGCACAUGCACGUGUGGAGCAUGAUUAGUUAUAGAUUCCUCAUGACAAAAUCUUAAAUUAAAUUCAUGCGGCAGGAGAAAUAGGAGUUUUGAGCAAGAGGUAAAUAUCACUUUGAUUGUAGUUAAGGGGUAGUUAAGGGUGCAGAGUGAUGAAAAUAGAACUCUUGAGGAAGAUGUGCAUAUAUACACUGAAAAUUGUAGUUCAAUGGUGAAGAGUAUAGUGCAGUUUCAGGCUAGCUUUAGGGAACUGAAAUGUAAAAAGCUUACCAAAUAAAUUAUUUAAAGAGAUGGAUCAAAGGAUUGAAAGAAGAAUUCCAAUGAAAUCUGGUACUAUGCGUCCGUCGGAGAAUCUUCCGGUGGGGUAGUGGAAGAAGGUUUCUCCAUAUGCCCAGGCUAUUGCUGCGUCCAUCUCUAUGGUAACAUAAGGAAGGUAUCCAUUGUUGCCAGCCUCAAAAGUGAGUCUCCGAACACAAACAAUGGCGCCUUAUAUCGAUCAUCAUCAUGUUCUUCUAUACUCCUAUUACUAUUAUCACUGUACUGACUGCGAUGACCAUGAAGAAAGAAGCUAACUGGGUUGAGCAGACUUGCCAACACAUACAUAAUGUAGCUAAGACUUCCCAUAGUCUUAGCUUCUACGACCAAUGGACCUCAUAUAUAUGCUUCUGCAUGCAUAUAUGACUAUAUAUGAUUUAAUCCGAAGUUCAACGCCACCCAGGUGACUGUGCAAUAAUGAACUGUCAAGUGUGUUGCUGCUCGACACACGUUUCCUAGUUCCAGUUUUGAAGAUCCGUUUGUUUCAGGUAUCUCUGUUGCAUUUAAGCCAGGCUCCACAUCAAUUUAAGAUACAGCAGAGGAAAGGAAACGUCCUCGACUUAAUUUGGACCCUCCAUGUGUAGCUUUGAUUUUUCUUUGAUACAGGAGCUAGAUUCUUUGCCUUGCUUACCUUUCCGUUUCCGUACAAGCACUAAAUCAGUGUUGAUGGCGGCAGUAGAGAAACCACCUCCAAUUUUUCUACGUAGAAUGCUCUAACUAUGCAUUGUAGUAUGUUGUCUAGGCCACUUUGAUAGAUUCAGAGUAUACACACAAGUUUGAGAAGUACAUCCAACUAGGUAAAAACUACUAGGCCACUUGCAGUAAUUCAUUCUAGCUGAAGUUGGAAGUACUAAGAGCAUCUCCAGCAACUCAUGUAAAACUAGAAUUAUCUAUAUUUUAGAGGAAAAACACCAAUUUUU